Triticum aestivum (bread wheat) is the source of this 3206-nucleotide long non-coding RNA. RefSeq lists it as uncharacterized. The record is from RefSeq and is a predicted model, not a curated record. Lineage: Eukaryota; Viridiplantae; Streptophyta; Magnoliopsida; Poales; Poaceae. The transcript has 14 exons.
CCUCGCCGGUCGCUCCCCCCCAGCCGGCGCCCACUAGCUGCUUGCGUGGAGGGGAGCUUCUCCGAUGGCGACGGCGACCACCAUCCAGGCCUCCUUGCUCACCUUGGAGAUGCAGAGGAGGAGGAGCCGCGCCUGCGGGAGCUCUCCACGGAGGAGGAGAUUUCGUGGCGGUGGUGCGGAGCGUACGGCAGUGGAGGGGCUGGAGAGACCGGGCCCACAUCGCUGAAGCAGUGGGCGUGGAGCAGGGGAGGAUGAGGGCGAUGGGCAUGAGGGAAGGAGCAGCGAGGUCGGAGUUCCAGGGGAUGCCGGCCGUCGUCACAUGUCCCCAGUAUCUGAGGAACAAAAAGAAGGGGAUGAAUCUUGAGGAAGAGCUUGGCUAAGAACAAGAUCUGAGGAACAAAAAUAAGGGGAUGAAUCUUGAGGAAGAGCUUGGAUAAGAACAAGGUGUUCGUAAUGGCAACGGUUGUAAUCAACGAUGAGAAAAAGGGACUGAGAUUGGAUUUGUACUAGGCAUGUUCCUCAUCUCUCUCAGUCCUUGUUCCUAUCCCCACCCUGAUGUAACUGUUUCUUCACAACUGUUGGAUGUGUCUUAGGAGAUAAAUGCCAUGAAUUGUUUAGAUUCUUGUUGAGCUAACCACUAACAAAUUGUUUGUCCCCUUGUUAAAGCUAAUCAUAGUAAUAUCUGGUAAUCGUCCCAGUCAAAAAAAAAUAUCUGGUAAUCGUCCGGCUGAUGUGUAUGGUGGCAACCAAAUUCAUGUUGAUGAACUGAAUCAAAUCUGUAGUAAAGUUAGUGUUAAAUCACACAUGUGUACAUUCAGGUUCAAUACACUCGAGCAGUUUUGUCACAUCUGUGGAUUUAGUAUGACAAGAAAAUUACUUGGAAACCCUCUUCUUCACGUCCAGCGGCCGACGCAGCUCUCGUGCCCUCCCAGCGCUGCCGGUCGGGAGCUUCUCCAUCCUACGCCGCUGCCUCGUAUCGGCUGUGCGAAGGAGGGCGGCGAGCAGCAGGAGCUCACCGCAUGGAGAGUGCCAACGGGGCCGCCGCCGAUGGGAAGUGCGAACAGAGAAAGGAUGUGGUCGUCGCCAUCGCAAGAAGGUUCAUGGUUUUACUCCUGGAGUGGUGUAUUCCUUGAUGAUAUGUUGAUGCGGUCCGCUUGGUGUUCUUGUUUGCUGUUCUUACUUGACAAUAGAGAAAAGAAAUAUCAUCUUUGAAAUGCUUGGAAUCGAUAGAUCAUUCAUGCCGUGGUUGGAUGCAAAUUAAGAACUAUUGGCAUCAGUGAAGAUUUGGGCAGUAGCUAGGGAGGGAUUGCUGGAGUGGAAACAUGGCAAGAACCGGAAAGAGCUCAAGAUUUUGCUACUACCUUGCUAAUAAAUUUGUGAGGUUGCUUUAUGGAAGUAUUUACAGGCUUGCCAUGACAAGGAAUGCAUCAAUAAUCUUGGUAUAAAAUUUAUUUGGAUGGUUCAGAACCUUCAGAUGGCAUGGCUGAGAUAUAGUUUGUUGUAUUCAGUUUUUUUUUCAUCGUCACAGGUUAUAUGAUUUGUACAUGGCGGUGUUACUGAACAGAAGGAGAUAGAACAUGAUGAUCCUCUCUUAAUUUGGUUUCUCCUCCGCUGAAGAAUAUAGGAAUCACCAGCAGCCCUUCUCUAGUUCCGAGGAAGUGCUCAACCUAGACGUUGUUGGCCGAAGGAGGGGCGGAGCAGGUGCCAGUCAAGUAGGCGGCUCAAUGGGUGGGAGAUGGCAGCUGCCGAUCUCACACGGCUCAUGCGCCCCGCGACCCUCCCCUCCCCGGCUAAGUAGGAGGUUCGAGGGCAGCGACUAAGGAAGGAGCACAUCGGCGAUGAGGGCUAGCAAUAGCAAGACAAUUGCCAGGUGCAGUCGAUAUGCCGCCACGUCGGCCCUUCACGCGCGCCCGCCAGGGUCGGGACCUUUUUCAGAGCAAUGCGUAGUGUUUCCUUUAUUGUUGUUGUUUGUGAUGUCCUUGAUAUUCCUUUGCCAUAUGAUUUUUGAUCAUUUUCUCGCUCAUUCCUAGAGGAGCGCUAUGGAUAAUAUGAUUGAGAUGACUAAGAUACAUGCUUUUUGUUUACUUGGCAUCUGCUUCUCUUAAUUUUUCUACAACCCUUCCUUUACAUGCUGGUAUGUUUUGUUGCCAGGCUCAGAUCGGCGAGACCCGUGCCAAUGCACGAGGUACAAUAUUGGUUAAUUUUCCAUCUCCAAUCAGAUUAAUGGUUUGCAUGCAGACCAAGCCCAGUGUUUUAUGGUGUUCUUAUUCCUGAUUUAGUUGUACAUUUGACUUUUAGUUUCUUCAUAGAUAAUAAAGUAGUGGCAGAUGAACCAGUAAGUUAUCUGUGCCCAUUCUUUGCUGUAAGCAUUAAAUUUGCUCUCUGCUUUUACUUUCAAUGUGUUAUCCGUACCCCUGUUUUUUGUGGCUAAUUAUUAUGGUGUUCUUAUUCCUGAUUUAGUUGUACAUUUGACUUUUAGUUUCUUCAUAGAUAAUAAAGUAGUGGCAGAUGAACCAGUAAGUUAUCUGUGCCCAUUCUUUGCUGUAAGCAUUAAAUUUGCUCUCUGCUUUUACUUUCAAUGUGUUAUCCGUACCCCUGUUUUUUGUGGCUAAUUAUUAUGUCCUAUCAACAUAUGCAGAGUCCAUGGUAUCAUACGAUUUGAAGUUGAAAAAAUCAUGCUAUGGGUGAUACGGAAAAGUCAUUGCCUUCUUUGCUGGAACAUUUCCUAAGAUGAUCUAAGGUGAAGCAUUUAUGAAUAUCCUCGCUGAUCUAUGGAUCUAUCAUUGUAAGAGUCGAUAAUAUAUGGUGAGCUGCCUCACACCAUCAUUUGGUCUUUGUAGCAUUUGAGUUGGCAAAUUUGUUGGAUUCAUGCGAUUAGGCAUGCCAUGUAAAUCAAUCUGCAAUGGGAAAUGGGAGUUUGCAAACUACCGGAGUCUAAUUGCUGAGGGACGAGGUUCGUAACUGAGGGUCAUGUGCAGAGCUGGAGGAAGAAGUUGCGAGGCUUGGAACUCUCCUUGUGAAGGGCUCAGGGACAACAGUGAGGACAAUGCCUCUUUAGUUGUAAUUGUGAUACUCCUGAUGUGCAAGUAAACAUUCCUGUGAUACUGCUUAUGCUAAAAUGUUGGUUGUUAGUACAGAGGUGGUGACAUUAUUUGGUUCUCUGAUAUUGAUUUCAUGAUUUGUAAUAUAAUCCACAUUGCAUUAUC